AAACAAGAUUAUUUUACUGACCUCACUGGCAGAUUAUUUAGCUUGUUUCAAGGAAAAACUCACUUUAUUUUGGCACAUUGUUUAUAACACAAGGCUUUAUUUUGCUGGUCUAGAAAAUGCUUCUUGAUUAAAGAUUUUUUUUAAUAACUGGACUAGAAACAAGACGAAAAGAAAAAGAAGUAAAGCAUGUUUUGCAGUGUAAAAGUCAUAAAUUUUAACGGUAAGGAUAAAUGUGAGAAGUGCAUCAUUUACUAAUUUUAAUAGUAGUUUAGAGUGAGUUUGUUUUUUAAACGCGUUAUUAACUGGGUUACAUAAUAUGAUUAGCGUUCACUUCUGUGCCCUGUAUAAUCAAUAGUGGAUGGGUACUGCUAAUUUUCUUAUUCUGUUUGAAAGUCUAAUACAUUUAGAACAAAAACAAACAUUAAAAUAUCUGCACAACUCUUCACAUUUAGUUGACUUUCUGCCGAAUACUGUCAGUUCGUUUGGUUUAGUCCCCUGCGGGCCGCCGUAGUUUACGUACCCCGAACGUCACUUUUCCGCUGCGGUAGCGGUUAGCAUGCUGGCUAGUAUAAACAAUGCUUGACGUCGUUGUGUAAUGUGACAUUUAUUCUUCUAAAAUAUCAUCAAUCAUUUAUCAUUUUCAAGACAAUCUCGUCGAGCAUCAUGGAAACGGAAAACCGAGCCAAAAAGAGAGUGUACUCGGAGAAGUCUGCUUCUGAGGGAUCGGAGGAUGAUGACUACGUGCCGUAUGUUCCUGUCAAGAUCAGAAAACAGCAGAUGCUCCAGAAGGUGAUGCGUCUGCGGGGUAAAGGCCUGACGGAGGAGGAGCAGAAGGACAGUGGUGGAGAACAGAAGGAUGAGGAUGAAGGUCUGGGUCCUCGAUCUAAUGUCAGCCUGCUGGACCAACAUCAGCACCUCAAGGAGAAAGCAGAAGCUCGAAAGGAGUCUGCCAAGGAGAAACAGCUGAAGGAGGAGGAAAAGAUUCUGGAGAGUGUGGCUGAAGGCAGAGCCCUGAUGUCUGUGAAGGAAAUGGCCAAAGGAAUCACAUAUGAAGAUCCAAUAAAGACAAGGUGAGUUGACGUAUACAGCACUUUCCGGAGCCUGUACCAUAAUGCUGGCUUAACAAACUCAGGAUUAUAGGAUUAGACUAAACCAAAACAGUGCAGUCAUGUUUUGCUGUUAUCAUGAAUCGAAUCAUCAGCUUUCUAUAUUAAUUCUGGCUUCAAUCCUGAGUUCAUGAGCAUAUGCAAAUAAAGGCAGGACAUCAGCAGCAAACAGCCAAUCACAGGCCUCGAAAGAGAAAGAUACUGGGAUUGACUUUUAAAAUAUAAUAUUAAAACAUUUUUAAAGAACAUAAAAUUUAAAAACAUUUAUAUAGCAAGAUGAAAGAGGAUAGACAAAUGAAAAAUGAUUUAUUCAAGCAAGUAAAGUACAUAUGAUAAUACAUAAAUAUACAGAGACUCUAAAAUAUAAGGUCAGAUGUAGUCUUUUUCAAGCAUUAUCUACUUAUUUAAGAUACAGGUUAUUUAUAUUGCAGCUAUCAACAUAUUUGUAUUUAUUGACACAAAAAAAUGGUUAUUAAAUUCAAAUUAUAUUACAGAUAUAACAUAAUAGAUAAUCAUUUGUUAAAAUCAAAAUCUUGUAAGUGUUUUACUAUACAGCUACUUUAACUUUGAAGCAAGAGAAUCUGGGGCAGUGGCUUUAUUGUCACUUUGCUCACAGCUGAUUUGUUGAAUAUUGGUUUGUGAUCUCUUAACAUAGCCUGAACAUAACCUGAACAUAACCAGAACAUAACCUGAACAGAACAACAAAACUUGAACAUAUCUAGAACAUAAACAGAACAUAAACAAGAAAAUAACCUUAACCUAAUCAUAGCAUAACUAGAACAUAACCUGAGCAUAAUCUGAUCAUAAUCUAAACAUAGCCAGAACAAAAGAUGAACAUAACCAGAACAUGACCUGAAAAUAAUCAAAAUAUAACAACAAAACUCGAACAUAUCUAAAACAUUAACAGAACAUAAACAAGAACAUAACCUGAAGUUAAUCAGAACAUAACUAGAAAAUAACUGAGCAUAAUCUGAACAUCGCCAGAAAAUAAGAAGAACAUAACACAAAGAUGAACAAGAAAAUCACCUGAACAUAAUCAUAGCAUAACUAGAGCUUAACCUGAGAACAAUCAGUGAUUAAUCUGAACAUUGCUAGAACAUAGCCAGAACAUAACCAGGACAAAACCUGAACAUAACCUGCACACAAUCAAAACAUAACAACAAAACUUGAACAUAUAUAGAACAUAAACAAGAAAAUAACCUGAACUUAAUCAUAGCAUAACUAGAACAUAACUGAGCAUAAUCUGUGCAUAAUCUAAACAUAGCCAGAACAUAACAGAAACAUGAACAAGAACAUAACCCGAACAUAAUUAGAGCAUAACCUGAGAAUAUUAUGUGCAUAUUCUGAACAUAAUCUGAAAACANNNNNNNNNNNNNNNNNNNNNNNNNNNNNNNNNNNNNNNNNNNNNNNNNNNNNNNNNNNNNNNNNNNNNNNNNNNNNNNNNNNNNNNNNNNNNNNNNNNNGUGUGUUUAUGAGUGUGUGUCCAUGUGUGUGCUUGCAUGUGCUCACUUGUAUAUGAGUGUGCGUGUGUGUGUGUGCAUGCGUGCACGUGCGUGUGUGCAUGCAUGUGCAUCUUUGUAUCAGUGUAUAUAUUUGAGAGUAUGUGCGUGCGUGCGUGCAUGCAUGUGCAUCUGUGUAUGGGUGUGUAUGUUUAUGAGAGUGUGUGUGCGCAUGUAUGUGCGCAUGUAUUAGUGUGCGUUUGCAUGUGCUCACUUGUAUGAGAGUGUGUCCGUGUGUGUGCGUGCGUUCAGGCCAGCAGUGGGCCGUCUUCAUGGCAGCGGUGUGUUUGGUUUGCUCUUAUUAUCAGUGUAAUGAGGUUUAAUGAGUUGAGGACUGAAGCGCUGCAGGAGCGAGAGCAGCAUCACUGACAUCAGCCCAGAGCACAAACUAAACAACACACACACACACACACACACACACACACACUUCUGCUCUCUUAUUUCUGCAAUUAUACUAUUCAUUCCUGAAGCAUGUAUCAUCACAGCAUUCUCAUCAUAUCGAUCUUAGACACAAACAACGUUACUCUAACAGGUAUAAUAACCACAAAACACUAUUAUUGAUCAUUCAUUUUCAGAGAAUUAAUGUUUUAAAACAAUGUAAAUUACUAUAUAGAGUAGAUCCUAAUUAAUGCAUUCAAAUCAAAGGUGUGAAAUGGCUAUAUAUGUUGCUUAAUAAAUAGCUGAACUCUAUUAGUUCUGUAACUAAUAAACGUGUAAACGUGCAGAAAUCCAGUCUCUCCAUUAAACAACACUUGGGAAAUAUCUGUUCGAGCAUUAGCAGGGCGAAUAAAGUGUGUUUACAUGCGUUGCUUUUCUGGAGUGCUGAUUUAAUAGUCAGCCUGCGCUGUAAAUCGUGACGAUGGGCAGUUGCACAAGUCAGAAAUGUGUGUUUUACAUGUGUCUAUCUGAGGUGGGAGAACAGCGCCAGAUGUGCCGACUGCAUUUAUGGAUCGUCGGCAUCUUUGUUUCUUUAUCACUAAUUGGAUGUUAGGAUUGCGGGCUGAUGGGGAGAGCGUGCGGGAAUGAUGGAGUGCGGAGAGUAAUAGAGGCAUUUGCACAGUAACUGCGGCCGUAAGUCUCUCUGCAUACUGAAAAAGCUGUCAUUUCUACAUGAUUUCUAUUGCCACACAAACACAAACGGCCUGUCUGUCACGGCUCCCAGUGAUAAGCUGGCACAUACAUCAGCAGACGCAUGCAUCACUGACACAGGCUGCUCGCGGAGGACGCUUUAUUCACACACACACACACACACACUUUUACAGACAUCCGGAAAGCACACAGUUUGUAGUUUUAACCUGAUGCAUGAAUUAUUACAUAGUACACACUGUGUUUCUUUUUACUUUUUUAAAGAAAAGUUUGUUCAUUUAAAUUAUGCAAUGCUUAAUUUUUAGGAAAAUGUUUUGUUUUGUAUUUAAAUUAUGUAAUGUUUAUUUUUAGGAAAAUGUUCUGUUAAGAUUUUCAUUUAAAUUACGCAAUGUUUAAUUUUUAUUCAAAUUUUUAUUUGAACAUUUUUUUAUUUCAAUUUUGCAAUGUUUUAUUUUUAGGAAAAUAUUG
This is a long non-coding RNA of Danio rerio (zebrafish), 4159 nucleotides long. The record is from Ensembl. NCBI's taxonomy places the organism in Eukaryota, Metazoa, Chordata, Actinopteri, Cypriniformes, Danionidae.